This 390-nucleotide ribosomal RNA is filed under the name uncultured Telonemia. RNAcentral describes it as "partial small subunit ribosomal RNA". It matches the Rfam family "Eukaryotic small subunit ribosomal RNA", at positions 30 to 432 of the family's 1831-position model. The record is from RNAcentral. Lineage: Eukaryota; Telonemia.
GCUUGUCUCAAAGAUUAAGCCAUGCAUGUCUAAGUAUAAGCCUUUAUAUGGUGAGACUGCGAAUGGCUCAUUAAAUCAGAAACUGUUUAUUUGAUAGUGCCUACUACAUGGAUACCUGUAGUAAUUCUAGAGCUAAUACAUGCAAAAAGCCUGGACUUCUGGAACAGGCGUAUUUAUUAGAUAUACAAACCAACCGCUUCGGCGACCCUUGGUGACUCAUAAUAACUUCGCGAAUCGUUUUCGGACGAUGAUUCAUUCAAAUUUCUGCCCUAUCAGCUUUUGAUGGUAAGGUAUUGGCCUACCAUGGUUACCACGGGUAACGGGGAAUUAGGGUUCGGUUCCGGAGAGGGGGCCUGAGAAAUGGCCACCACAUCCAAGGAAGGCAGCAGG